RNAcentral lists this ribosomal RNA (500 nucleotides) under uncultured bacterium. RNAcentral describes it as "partial 16S ribosomal RNA". It matches the Rfam family "Bacterial small subunit ribosomal RNA", at positions 30 to 523 of the family's 1533-position model. The record is from RNAcentral.
AUUGAACGCUGGCGGAAUGCUUUACACAUGCAAGUCGAACGGCAGCACGGACUUCGGUCUGGUGGCGAGUGGCGAACGGGUGAGUAAUGUAUCGGAACGUGCCCAGUCGUGGGGGAUAACGUAGUGAAAAUUACGCUAAUACCGCAUACGAUCUAUGGAUGAAAGCGGGGGAUCGCAAGACCUCGCGCGAUUGGAGCGGCCGAUAUCCGAUUAGGUAGUUGGUGGGGUAAAGGCCCACCAAGCCAACGAACUGUAGCUGGUCUGAGAGGACGACCAGCCACACUGGAACUGAGACACGGUCCAGACUCCUACGGGAGGCAGCAGUGGGGAAUUUUGGACAAUGGGCGAAAGCCUGAUCCAGCCAUUCCGCGUGCAGGAUGAAGGCCCUCGGGUUGUAAACUGCUUUUGUACAGAACGAAAAGGUUUCUACUAAUACUAGGAGCUCAUGACGGUACUGUAAGAAUAAGCACCGGCUAACUACGUGCCAGCAGCCGCAGUAA